CAGUCGUACCUGCGGGUAAUCAGCCUUUUGGGCAUGAUUCUGUGGAGCGUGAGGAGUUAAACGCCUUCAUGCCUGCAUAUUCGUGUACUUUGGGUGUACUUGCCUGUGUGGUUAGUUAACAUCAAUUUUGGUAUCAAUAAAAUGUUUGGAGGAAUGUAGCUUCGAUCUCGUAUGAAGUGUUAUAGCCGUUGGCAGAUGUGAUGA
This 204-nucleotide ribosomal RNA is filed under the name Rhizophagus intraradices. Lineage: Eukaryota; Fungi; Glomeromycota; Glomeromycetes; Glomerales; Glomeraceae. The record is from RNAcentral.